GACGGGGCCCGCACAAGCGGUGGAGCAUGUGGUUUAAUUCGAUGCAACGCGAAGAACCUUACCUGGGCUUGACAUCCCGAGAAUCCCCUGGAAACAGGGAGUGCCUUUCGGGGAACUCGGAGACAGGUGCUGCAUGGCUGUCGUCAGCUCGUGUCGUGAGAUGUUGGGUUAAGUCCCGCAACGAGCGCAACCCUUGUCUUUAAUUGCCAGCAUUCAGUUGGGCACUUUAAAGAGACUGCCGGUGUUAAGCCGGAGGAAGGUGGGAUGACGUCAAGUCCUCAUGGCCUUUAUGCCCAGGGCUACACACGUGCUACAAUGGGUGGUACAAAGAGAUGCCAACUCGCGAGAGCGCGCCAAUCUCAGAAAGCCGUCCUCAGUUCGGAUUGGAGUCUGCAACUCGACUCCAUGAAGUUGGAAUCGCUAGUAAUCGCGGAUCAGCACGCCGCGGUGAAUACGUUCCCGGGCCUU
This 468-nucleotide ribosomal RNA is filed under the name uncultured Smithella sp. RNAcentral describes it as "bacterial SSU rRNA". It matches the Rfam family "Bacterial small subunit ribosomal RNA", at positions 916 to 1381 of the family's 1533-position model. The record is from RNAcentral. Lineage: Bacteria; Pseudomonadati; Thermodesulfobacteriota; Syntrophia; Syntrophales; Smithellaceae.